This 413-nucleotide ribosomal RNA is filed under the name uncultured bacterium. Its description in RNAcentral is "bacterial SSU rRNA". It matches the Rfam family "Bacterial small subunit ribosomal RNA", at positions 1086 to 1506 of the family's 1533-position model. The record is from RNAcentral.
CCCGCAACGAGCGCAACCCUCGUGUUUAGUUGAUAACAGUUCGGCUGAUAACUCUAAACAGACUGCCUGGGUAACCAGGAGGAAGGUGAGGACGACGUCAAGUCAUCAUGGCCCUUAUGUCCAGGGCUACACACGUGCUACAAUGGGGUAUACAAAGAGCAGCGAUACGGUGACGUGGAGCAAAUCUCAAAAAUAUCUCCCAGUUCGGAUAGUAGUCUGCAACUCGACUACUUGAAGUUGGAAUCGCUAGUAAUCGUAGAUCAGCAAUGCUACGGUGAAUACGUUCCCGGGUCUUGUACUCACCGCCCGUCACACCAUGGGAGUUGAACUCAUUCGAAGCGGGGAUGCUAAAGUAGCUACCCUCCACAGUGGAUUUAGCGACUGGGGUGAAGUCGUAACAAGGUAACCUUAAA